This is a non-coding RNA of Solanum tuberosum (potato), 87 nucleotides long. Lineage: Eukaryota; Viridiplantae; Streptophyta; Magnoliopsida; Solanales; Solanaceae. The record is from RefSeq and is marked provisional.
CCAUUUUUUCGAAAUUAGACCCGUGGUUUGAAUAGUAGUUUUGGAUUAUAAACUUCAGACCACUGGUCUAGUUUCGAAAAAAUUGUC